GUAAGGAAUAUUGGUCAAUGGACGAAAGUCUGAACCAGCCAUGCCGCGUGGAGGAUGAAGGUCCUCUGGAUUGUAAACUUCUUUUAUCUGGGACGAAAAAAGGUCUUUCUAGAUCGUCUGACGGUACCAGAUGAAUAAGCACCGGCUAACUCCGUGCCAGCAGCCGCGGUAAUACGGAGGGUGCAAGCGUUAUCCGGAUUCACUGGGUUUAAAGGGUGCGUAGGUGGGUUGGUAAGUCAGUGGUGAAAUCUUCGAGCUUAACUCGGAAACUGCCAUUGAUACUAUCAGUCUUGAAUAUUGUGGAGGUUAGCGGAAUAUGUCAUGUAGCGGUGAAAUGCUUAGAUAUGACAUAGAACACCAAUUGCGAAGGCAGCUGGCUACACAUAUAUUGACACUGAGGCACGAAAGCGUGGGGAUCAAACAGGAUUAGAUACCCCGGUAGUCC
Molecule: ribosomal RNA, 445 nt
Filed under: uncultured bacterium
Lineage: Bacteria
Description: partial 16S ribosomal RNA
Rfam family: Bacterial small subunit ribosomal RNA
Source: RNAcentral